AGCCCAUUUUACAGAUGAGAAAACUGAGGCAGAGCAGAAGUGACUUGCUCAGGGUCAUCCAGCUAACGAAUGUCCGAGUCGGAGAUGAACUUUGGAGGAUCCUGUUUCUUGAGAAGAUCCCUGUCCAGAGCUGGAGGGCAAGAGACCAUGGGAGAGCGUCACAGAUUUUGAGUCACAAGGGAACUUAGAGUUCUUCCAGGGGACGGCUCUCAUUCCUCAUCCGGUGAAAGUAAAGGAUUCUGGGUUAUCGGAGCUAGAGAGAACUUUGGAGAUCAUUUAGACCAACCGCCACACUUAACAAUCUUUUUCACUUUGAGUGGGACAAGUGAGGAAAGUGCCCAAGAUGAGGCCCGAGGAUGGGCAGGGGUCUCCGCGAGAGAUCACUUUCCGUGAUCUUCUUCCCUCAGACACUUGCCUCUUCCACACUUCCCCAUUAUGGCCAGAGCAUCCUUCCUGUCACCCAGGGGUGUGACCUUGGAAUCACCUCAGCUCUUCAUCCUCACUCACUCUAUGAAGUCCAUCAGUUUCUAGGUCUAGAAGAGCCAGAAAGAGCAUCCCUUGCCCUCUGCUCCCCAAUCGCCCUCUGCUCCCUCUCCAGGGAAGUAACCUUUGUGGCCUCUAUAAGCACUGGAACCCUCACCUCCUCAGAUGUGGAAAAGAAAAUGUUCCUCACCAAAGGCCUCCGAGGGCUGUCAAAUGGUUCAGCCAGAAGUGGACGUGAUUUUAUUUGGAGGAAAUUACUAGGUGCUUAAUAAAGGCUUCUUCUCAUCCCCCCUUUUGCGGUCAUACCCCGAGAAUCAAUGAGCGCUUCCAUCGUCCCUGCAGCUGGACCAUCCUCUCCAUGUUGUCCCCUGUGUUCAAAUGUGAACCCCUUGAGAUCGCUGACUCUCUUUUCUCUCUAUCUCUGCAACAUUUAGAACACUGCUUUGCAUCUUGUGAAG
Molecule: long non-coding RNA, 941 nt
Filed under: Sarcophilus harrisii (Tasmanian devil)
Lineage: Eukaryota; Metazoa; Chordata; Mammalia; Dasyuromorphia; Dasyuridae
Description: lncRNA (ENSSHAG00000031094.1)
Source: RNAcentral